CAGUAGCCACGGUAAUACGAAGGGUGCAAGCGUUAAUCGGAAUUACUGGGCGUAAAGCGUGCGUAGGCGGUGAGUUAAGUCUGCUGUGAAAUCCCCGGGCUCAACCUGGGAAUGGCAGUGGAUACUGGCUCGCUAGAGUGUGUCAGAGGAUGGUGGAAUUCCCGGUGUAGCGGUGAAAUGCGUAGAGAUCGGGAGGAACAUCAGUGGCGAAGGCGGCCAUCUGGGACAACACUGACGCUGAGGCACGAAAGCGUGGGGAGCAAACAGGAUUAGAGACCCCCGUAGUCCCUGUCUCUUAUAC
Molecule: ribosomal RNA, 301 nt
Filed under: uncultured bacterium
Lineage: Bacteria
Description: partial 16S ribosomal RNA
Rfam family: Bacterial small subunit ribosomal RNA
Source: RNAcentral